UAGAUGAAAGCUCGCUGGUUUGGGCGUCUAGCUGUUAACUAGGAACUUGUAGGAUCGAGGCCUACUCAUCUAG
This 73-nucleotide transfer RNA is filed under the name Microphis boaja (Asian river pipefish). Its description in RNAcentral is "tRNA-Asn". Lineage: Eukaryota; Metazoa; Chordata; Actinopteri; Syngnathiformes; Syngnathidae. The record is from RNAcentral.